CCUACGGGUGGCAGCAGUGAGGAAUAUUGGUCAAUGGCCGGAAGGCUGAACCAGCCAUGCCGCGUGAAGGUCAGUGAACUAUGGGCGUUAAACUUCUUUUGUGCGGGAGCAAUAAUGGUCACGUGUGGCCAGACGAGAGUACCGUACGAAUAAGCAUCGGCUAAAUCCGUGCCAGCAGCCGCGGUAAUACGGGGGAUGACAGCGUUAUCCGGAUUUAUUGGGUUGAAAGGGUGCGUAGGCUGUGAGGUAAGUCAGCGGUGAAAUGCCCCCGCUCAACGGGGUGAAGUGCCAUUGUUACUGCCUGGCUGGAAUGCGGAUGCCGUUGGAGGAAUGUGUGGUGUAGCGGUGAAAUGCAUAGAUAUCACACAGAACACCGAUUGCGAAGGCAUCUCACGAAUCCGCGAUUGACGCUGAUGCACGAAAGCGUGGGUAUCAAACAGGAUUAGAUACCCUAGUAGUC
Molecule: ribosomal RNA, 460 nt
Filed under: uncultured bacterium
Lineage: Bacteria
Description: partial 16S ribosomal RNA
Rfam family: Bacterial small subunit ribosomal RNA
Source: RNAcentral